ACGAAGAUAGAUUUGAAGAUGUGAUGUUUUCUUUUUUAGUUUCAUCUUUUAUUUUAUCGAUCCUACGGCCCAGUUUACUAACCCAUAUUUCUUAUUUACAAGGCCCGUUUAUGGAGUAAGUGAUUGUAUUGUAUAACUUGGUUUGUGAAUUUCGGAAUGAAUAAUUAAAAGAAAUUUGAGCAUGUAUUUAAGAAUGUAUUUCUUAUUGUAUUCUCAUAGAUAAGCAUGAGAUGUGUAAAAACGCUUUUGUGUGAUUUAUCUUUUGAGUAAGUUUGAUCCAGAACUUUACAUUGAUCACUCUGCACAAUAAACACACAAAAUGUUAUUGUUAAUAACCUAACCAUACAAUUUCCAUGAAUAUCAAACAUAACUGAAAUAGAAAAUGAAAAAAAGUAAACUGAAAAACCUUUUUAUAUAGCGUAUUUUUUCAAUUUUCAUAGAUUUUAAAUCAUAAACAAAUAAUAAAUACUGAAUAAUUAGUGGAUUACUUGAUGGUUCGUUAUAAGCCUAACUGAACAUAAAAUAACUUGAACUAGAAAAAUCAAAAUUGAAUCUGACACAAUCUAUAAAAUAUUAAAAUGGAGGUCUACGCCAUAAUGGUUCCACGAUCGCAUCUCCACCUCUGCGUAUUGGUCUAAGCCACGUCUACGAUCGCCUCUCCACCUCUGUGCAUUGGUCUAAGCCACGUCUACGAUCGCCUCUCCACUUUGAGUUUUACUAUUUUAGUUUAAGGUCGGAUAAAAAAAAAACCACUUUCUUUGUGGCUUUGAAUUAUUAUUUGCUGCAAGUUCAGUUUGACUGAUUUUGUUGAUUUAAAAAGCACUAAUUUUUCUAAAUUUUAUCAGAGAUUAAAUCUUAAAAUGAUAUCUUUUGAACUUUCAUUGUGUAAUUGAACUCAUAGAGAAAUGUUGUCUAUAUAUCUUAUUACAUUGUAGCUGUUUUGGGUUUCCUAGAAGCAUAAUAAACAUUCGAUAUUGUUUUGGUUCGGAUUUAGUUUAUCAAAACAUUUCAUUUCAAGAUAAACCUCAGUUCCUUAUCUUCGGUUUUGCUUAGGUGCCUACAGCUCACGAUUGGAUUCGGUUUUGGCUUUGUUGAUGAUAUCAAGAUAAUGAUGAUAUCAUCUUUCUAUGUCUUAUGUAAUUUUUUAGCUUUGUUCCUUGCACAAUGGACAAUGGUUUGAGUAGAGAAUGUGGUUUCAGAGUUGCUAAAGUCACAAUUUCGUUUACUUGGUGUGUUCUGUGGUAUGCGUAGUUGUCUGUUUUGUGAACUUCUGUGGCGAGCCUUAUGAUUCAUGACAUUUUGCAAUGCUUGCAUUUAGCUUUAGAUGUUGGCUUUUGGUGAAGUUGUGAUGUUAGUACACAAAUGUUGCCUUACACAUGCUGAAAUAUCUUACACGCUCAAAAUAUAUUUUAUUUGAAUCAUAUUUCCAGGAUUAAUACUGAGGCCAGUGAACCAUUAACCGAAUCAGGAGAGACUUCUAUUCAAUAUCCGAACACAUGUAUUGUACACACCUAAUCUCAAUUUAGCUUUCAUUCUUCUAAUUCCUUCAAAGUAGUAUUUUCAAUGGUGUGUAUUUUAAUUAUGUAUUAUUAAGUAAACCUAAAAGAGUUCGGGACCAAAAUAGAUAAUAAUCAGAAUUAUCAAAAAUAUAUGAAUAUAAAAUGUUAUUGGCUGAAUCAACUUGAACAUAUAUAAAACCCGAAUGAGACCUACUCAGCUGAACCUUAAACCCAGAAAAGACAAUAUGGACCCAACCCAAAGCCCAUUAGGGAAUCAAGGUACCUAAUGUGUUAUAUAUCAAUUCGAAAUUCCAUCAACAUUAUUAUAAUGUACAAUGUUCAUCAUGUAAAAGGAUUAUAACUCAAAUAGUAAUGACGAGAUGCUUGGAAUGGUUUGCUGGUACAGCAGUAGAAUUGUUGCGGUUAGUGUGGCUUUAUACAUUGUUGCGGUUAGUGUAGUUUUGUUUUCUACUUAAAUGGAAAACCAAUAACGCCUCGAUCAUACAGACUCUUGAUACCAAAUGAAGGUUGCAUGAUAACAAUUAAAAGCCAAAUAUCAAUAAAAAAAUAUUAUCUGAUACAAUAGUUAUAUUAAGUUAUUAACAAUGCAAAGGUUCUUGCUUCCCAGCUUUGAAAGAAAUUAUGGAAAAAUAAGGAAUAAAGAGGCAUAUAUCAAUUCGAUCACUCAGGGCUACAAAACAAGGGACUAAAACGCAAAGGUUUCUUGAAACGCAGACGUAACCCAGAGAGUUUAUCACACACAUAAACGAAAUCAAAGGGAAAUGAAACAAACAAAUG
Molecule: long non-coding RNA, 2297 nt
Organism: Brassica rapa (field mustard)
Lineage: Eukaryota; Viridiplantae; Streptophyta; Magnoliopsida; Brassicales; Brassicaceae
Source: RefSeq, a predicted model, not a curated record